This 492-nucleotide ribosomal RNA is filed under the name uncultured bacterium. Its description in RNAcentral is "partial 16S ribosomal RNA". It matches the Rfam family "Bacterial small subunit ribosomal RNA", at positions 29 to 507 of the family's 1533-position model. The record is from RNAcentral.
AGUGAACGCUGGCGGUAGGCCUAAUACAUGCAAGUCGAACGGCAGCACAGUAAGAGCUUGCCCUUACGGGUGGCGAGUGGCGGACGGGUGAGGAAUACAUCGGCAUCUACUUUUUCGUGGGGGAUAACGUAGGGAAACUUACGCUAAUACCGCAUACGACCUACGGGUGAAAGCAGUGGAUCUUCGGACCUUGCGCGAUUGAAUGAGCCGAUGUCGGAUUAGCUAGUUGGCGGGGUAAAGGCCCACCAAGGCGACGAUGCGUAGCUGAUCUGAGAGGAUGAUCAGCCACACUGGAACUGAGACACGGUCCAGACUCCUACGGGAGGCAGCAGUGGGGAAUAUUGGACAAUGGGCGCAAGCCUGAUGCAGCCAUACCGCGUGAGUGAAGAAGGCCUUCGGGUUGUAAAGCCCUUUUGUUGGGAAAGAAAAGCAGCAGGUUUAUACCCCGCUGUUCUGACGGUACCCAAAGAAUAAGCACCGGCUAACUUCGUG